RNAcentral lists this ribosomal RNA (301 nucleotides) under uncultured bacterium. RNAcentral's name for it is "partial 16S ribosomal RNA". It matches the Rfam family "Bacterial small subunit ribosomal RNA", at positions 509 to 809 of the family's 1533-position model. The record is from RNAcentral.
CAGUAGCCGCGGUAAUACGUAGGGUGCAAGCGUUAAUCGGAAUUACUGGGCGUAAAGCGUGCGCAGGCGGUUAUAUAAGACAGAUGUGAAAUCCCCGGACUCAACCUGGGAACUGCAUUUGUGACUGUAUAGCUAGAGUACGGCAGAGGGGGAUGGAAUUCCGCGUGUAGCAGUGAAAUGCGUAGAUAUGCGGAGGAACACCGAUGGCGAAGGCAAUCCCCUGGGCCUGUACUGACGCUCAUGCACGAAAGCGUGGGGAGCAAACAGGAUUAGAUACCCCAGUAGUCCCUGUCUCUUAUAA